Molecule: ribosomal RNA, 497 nt
Filed under: uncultured bacterium
Lineage: Bacteria
Description: bacterial SSU rRNA
Rfam family: Bacterial small subunit ribosomal RNA
Source: RNAcentral
CGCUGGCGGCGUGCCUAACACAUGCAAGUCGUGCGAGAAAGUUCCUUCGGGAGCGAGUAAAGCGGCGCACGGGUGAGUAACACGUAGGUAACCUGCCCCCCAGUCUGGAACAACUAGAGGAAACUCUAGCUAAUGCCGGAUGAGACCACGAUCCCUUCGGGGGUUGCGGCCAAAGAUGGCCUCUACUUGUAAGCUAUCGCUGAGGGAUGGGCCUGCGGGCCAUUAGCUUGUUGGUGAGGUAACGGCUCACCAAGGCUGUGAUGGCUAGCUGGUCUGAGAGGAUGACCAGCCACACUGGGACUGAGACACGGCCCAGACUCCUACGGGAGGCAGCAGUAGGGAAUAUUGCGCAAUGGGCGAAAGCCUGACGCAGCGACGCCGCGUGGGUGAUGAAGGCCUUCGGGUCGUAAAGCCCUGUCGCAGGGGAAGAAUAAGCAUCGGUAUAAUACGCCGGUGCCCUGACGGUACCCUGCAAGAAAGCACCGGCUAACUCCGUG